GGCUGGUCUGAGUGCAGUGAUAUUUACAACUAAUUGAUCACAACCAGUUACAGAUUUCCUUGUCUCUUCUUCACUCUUACUGCUUCACUUGACUAGCCUUAA
This 102-nucleotide Y RNA is filed under the name Propithecus coquereli (Coquerel's sifaka). RNAcentral describes it as "Y RNA (ENSPCOG00000004499.1)". It matches the Rfam family "Y RNA". From Rfam's summary of the family: Y RNAs are components of the Ro ribonucleoprotein particle (Ro RNP), in association with Ro60 and La proteins. The record is from Rfam by way of RNAcentral. Lineage: Eukaryota; Metazoa; Chordata; Mammalia; Primates; Indriidae.